CAAAUACUCCCUCCGUUCCAAAAUUCUUGUUUUAGGUUUGUCUAAAAAAGGAUGUAUCUAAAUACUAAAACGUNNNNAGAUACAUUUAUAUCUAGACAAAUCUAAAACAAUAAUUUUGGAACGGAGGGAUUACCCC
Non-coding RNA from Hordeum vulgare subsp. vulgare (domesticated barley), 136 nucleotides. The record is from Rfam. Lineage: Eukaryota; Viridiplantae; Streptophyta; Magnoliopsida; Poales; Poaceae.